RNAcentral lists this non-coding RNA (109 nucleotides) under Edaphosphingomonas laterariae. RNAcentral describes it as "Sphingomonas laterariae SAM-I-IV sequence". It matches the Rfam family "SAM-I/IV (S-adenosyl methionine) riboswitch aptamer". Rfam says of the family: It is found upstream of a number of genes which code for proteins involved in methionine or cysteine biosynthesis. It has been found mostly in the order Actinomycetales. The record is from Rfam by way of RNAcentral. Lineage: Bacteria; Pseudomonadati; Pseudomonadota; Alphaproteobacteria; Sphingomonadales; Rhizorhabdaceae.
ACCCCACAUCAAGAGUUGGGGCGACGCCCAACGCCAACCUGCCUUUCCGGGCAAGGUGGCACUCCCUUUUCGGGAGGAUGUGGCCCGACCGGCAACCAAGCGGAUCAAG